CCGACGGUGAGAGGCGAAAGCUGGGGGAGCAAACCGGAUUAGAUACCCGGGUAGUUCCAGCUGUAAACGAUGCUCGCUAGGUGUCUGGGAUGGUGCGACCGUUUCAGGUGCCGCAGGGAAGCCGUGAAGCGAGCCACCUGGGAAGUACGGCCGCAAGGCUGAAACUUAAAGGAAUUGGCGGGGGAGCACUACAACGGGUGGAGCCUGCGGUUUAAUUGGACUCAACGCCGGAAAACUCACCUGGGGC
This 247-nucleotide ribosomal RNA is filed under the name uncultured archaeon. Its description in RNAcentral is "partial 16S ribosomal RNA". It matches the Rfam family "Archaeal small subunit ribosomal RNA", at positions 691 to 937 of the family's 1478-position model. The record is from RNAcentral.